Molecule: small nucleolar RNA, 152 nt
Organism: Callithrix jacchus (white-tufted-ear marmoset)
Lineage: Eukaryota; Metazoa; Chordata; Mammalia; Primates; Cebidae
Source: Ensembl
GCACUACUAGGUCUAUGAAAUCUCUGGUAAAAAAAAAAAUAAAACACCACCGGGCCUGUCAUAGUAACCCAUGCCAGAGCAAACUGUGUCCCCAAACCAUUGCCUGGCCUCUGUGCCCGUAGGCUGCUGGCACUGAAGUAGCUUGCGCAGUG